This 918-nucleotide long non-coding RNA is filed under the name Homo sapiens (human). RNAcentral describes it as "HSALNT0168326". Lineage: Eukaryota; Metazoa; Chordata; Mammalia; Primates; Hominidae. The record is from RNAcentral.
AGUUGCGACCCAGACACAUUUUCUUCCCCCACUCCCGCCUUAACUUGGUGAUUGGCUGUUGUAAAUUGCAUCGAAAGUGAUACGCCUUUCAGUGCUGAGAACCAUCAUGGGUCUGUGCCUAUGAUGUAAGGGGGAAAGGGAUCCAAACAGUCGAGCAACAUGAGUUUGUGUCUUUUGUAACAACUGUGCAUUGCUUGUGUGUGCUGCUAAUUAUUCCUGAUUCACAUGCCCUCAGUUGAUGCUUUUGGAAAUUAAAUGGGCAUGCCUUGUAUGGUGUGGAGAGAGAGGCUUGCUCAUUUUCUCUCCUUUCACACACUGCCCUUAUGCCUGCUGUUGCUCCAACAAGUGGCAUCAUCCUUAGUUCCUGACAUCCCAACAUGGGCAGUCAGAUGUUGCUGUCUGCUUUCAGAAUUACAAACCCACCCACUUGUACUUCUUUGCAGGAGUGAGGUAGCUUGCCAAAGAACGGGAAGUCACCAGAGUGAACAUCGUGGAGCCAUUGACACCAUGUUCUGUUUCUUAACCAAGGAGGAGGCUAGCCACUCUCUGGGCACCUAACUUGCAACAGCUCCCCUGGAGAUAGACCCACAUAAAACCAUUUUAUUCUUGACAUCACUCCAGCAUUUCUGCAGAGCAUCAGUCUGGACAGAACUUGGUAUUCUUGCUUCUUUUCCACUGACUUUUUAAGAAGCCAGUUAUUGAAGAUCCAGGGUAAUAAAAGCAGCUUGAACUUCAUUACCCUCUCUCCAGCAUUAGAUACUGAAGGCCACGGUGAGUGAUACUGUGUAUAAAAUACGAAGCAGAGAAUUAAAUGCAACUUGAUGGUACAUGUUGUACCUUAAUGAAAACAAAGGCUCAGGAACACUAUUUGUGAACGUGUUACCCAAUAAAGUGUUAGCAAUGGAGCUCAUAAAGCUG